CACCGGUGGCGAAGGCGGUCUUCUGGAUUAUUGCUGACACUGAGAGACGAAAGCGUGGGGAGCAAACAGAAUUAGAUACUCUGGUAGUCCACGCCCUAAACGAUGUAUGCUUUGUUGUUGGUUUCCUUUCNGGGAAUUAGUGACGUAGUUAACGCGUUAAGCAUACCGCCUGGGGAGUACGAUCGCAAGAU
RNAcentral lists this ribosomal RNA (191 nucleotides) under uncultured bacterium. RNAcentral's name for it is "partial 16S ribosomal RNA". It matches the Rfam family "Bacterial small subunit ribosomal RNA", at positions 707 to 894 of the family's 1533-position model. The record is from RNAcentral.